UAGUUGGUGAGGUAAUGGCUCACCAAGGCUAUGACGCAUAACUGGUCUGAGAGGAUGAUCAGUCACACUGGAACUGAGACACGGUCCAGACUCCUACGGGAGGCAGCAGUAGGGAAUAUUGCUCAAUGGGGGAAACCCUGAAGCAGCAACGCCGCGUGGAGGAUGACACUUUUCGGAGCGUAAACUCCUUUUCUUAGGGAAGAAAUUUGACGGUACCUAAGGAAUAAGCACCGGCUAACUCCGUGCCAGCAGCCGCGGUAAUACGGAGGGUGCAAGCGUUACUCGGAAUCACUGGGCGUAAAGGACGCGUAGGCGGAUUAUCAAGUCUUUUGUGAAAUCUAAUGGCUCAACCAUUAAACUGC
This 362-nucleotide ribosomal RNA is filed under the name Campylobacter lanienae. RNAcentral describes it as "bacterial SSU rRNA". It matches the Rfam family "Bacterial small subunit ribosomal RNA", at positions 246 to 624 of the family's 1533-position model. Lineage: Bacteria; Pseudomonadati; Campylobacterota; Epsilonproteobacteria; Campylobacterales; Campylobacteraceae. The record is from RNAcentral.